This 407-nucleotide ribosomal RNA is filed under the name uncultured bacterium. Its description in RNAcentral is "partial 16S ribosomal RNA". It matches the Rfam family "Bacterial small subunit ribosomal RNA", at positions 30 to 526 of the family's 1533-position model. The record is from RNAcentral.
AUUGAACGCUGGCGGCAGGCCUAACACAUGCAAGUCGAGCGGAGCGGCGGACGGGCGAGUAAUGCCUAGGAAUCUGCCUGGUAGUGGGGGAUAACGUCCGGAAACGGGCGCUCAUACCGCAUACUAUCAGAUGAGCCUAGGUCGGAUUAGCUAGUGGGUCGGGUAAAGGCCUACCAAGGCGACGAUCCGUAACUGGUCUGAGAGGAUGAUCAGUCACACGUUAACGAGGACACGGUCCCGACUCCGACGGGAGGCAGCGUUGGGGAAUAUUGGACAAUGGGCGAAAGCCUGAUCCAUCCAUGCCGCGUGUGUGAAGAAGGUCUUCGGAUUGUAAAGCACUUUAAGUUGGGAGGCGGUACCAACAGAAUAAGCACCGGCUAACUUCGUGCCAGCAGCCGCGGUAAUUC